GCUCCCGUCGUUCAACGGACAGGACAUUAGGUUGCGGACCUAAAAAUAGAGGUUCGAUUCCUCUCGGGAGCA
This 72-nucleotide transfer RNA is filed under the name bacterium. RNAcentral's name for it is "tRNA-Arg". It matches the Rfam family "tRNA". From Rfam's summary of the family: Transfer RNA (tRNA) molecules are approximately 80 nucleotides in length. Their secondary structure includes four short double-helical elements and three loops (D, anti-codon, and T loops). Further hydrogen bonds mediate the characteristic L-shaped molecular structure. tRNAs have two regions of fundamental functional importance: the anti-codon, which is responsible for specific mRNA codon recognition, and the 3' end, to which the tRNAs corresponding amino acid is attached (by aminoacyl-tRNA synthetases). tRNAs cope with the degeneracy of the genetic code in two manners: having more than one tRNA (with a specific anti-codon) for a particular amino acid; and 'wobble' base-pairing, i.e. permitting non-standard base-pairing at the 3rd anti-codon position. The record is from RNAcentral.